AGUUUCCGAUCCUGGCUCAGGACGGAACGCUGGCGGGAUGCUUUACACAUGCAAGUCGAACGGCAGCACGGACUUCUGGUCUGGUGGCGAGUGGCGAACGGGUGAGUAAUGUAUCGGAACGUACGUAGCGGGGAUAACGGCGCAGCAGCUAAUACCGCAUACGCCCUUCGGGGGAAAGCGGGGACCUUCGGGCCUCGCACUAUUAGAGCGGCCGAUAUCGGAUUAGCUAGUUAUGGGGUAACGGCUCACCAAGGCGACGAUCCGUAAGCGCCGGUUUGAGAGGACGACCAGCCACAAGUCGGACUGAGACACAAAAGCGGCCCAUGACCCGCGUUGAGGCGUGAAAGCAGUGGGCACCUGACAAUGGGGGAAAACCCCGAUCCAUGUUUUCAUCUCAUGCAAAGUGAUGAAGGCCUUCGGGUUGUAAAGCACUUUGGCAGGAGAAGAAACGGCACGAUAAUACCCCGUGCAACUGACGGCAGCGCCCGGCAGAAUAAGCACUGGCCGGGAAUCACGCCAGCAGCCGCGGUAAAGGCCGUGUAGGGUGCAAGCGCGUGCCACUGGAAUUACUGGGCGUAAAGCGUGGGUAUGCAGGCGGUUCGGAAAGAAAGAUGAUGUGAAAUCCCAGUGAGCUUAACUUUGGAACUGCAUUUUUAACUACCGAGCUGAGAGUGUCAGAGGAGGAAUUCGCAGAGCAGGAAAUGAUAGAUAUGGAGGAACACCGAUGGCGAAGGCAGCCUCCUGGGAUAACACUGACGCUCAUGCACGAAAGCAAGAGCAGCCAGGAUUAGAUACUCCUGGUAGUCCAUUUUCCUAAACGAUGUCAACCAGCUGUUGGGGCUCUCGGGCCCUGGUAGCGCAGCUAACGCGUGAAGUUGACCGCCUGGGGAGUACGGUCGCAAGAUUAAAACUCAAAGGAAUUGGAUUUGGGACUCCGCACAAGCGGCGGAUGAUGUGGAUUAAUUCGAUGCAACGCGAAAACCUUACCUACCCUUGACAUGUCUUGAAUCCUGAAGAGACUGGGGGAGUGCUCGCAAGAGAACCGGAACACAGGUGCUGCAUGGCUGUCGUCAGCUCGUGUCGUGAGAUGUUGGGUUAAGUCCCCGCAACGAGCGCAACCUUGUCAUUAAUAAGCUACGAAAGGGCACUCUAAUGAGACUGCCGGUGACAACCGGAGGAAGGUGGGGAUGACGUCAAGUCCUCAUGGCCUUAUGGGUAGGGCUUCACACGUCAUACAAUGGUCGGGACAGAGGGUCGCCAACCCGCGAGGGGGAGCCAAUCCCAGAAACCCGAUCGUAGUCCGACUGGCAGUCUGCACCAUCUGUGUGCAAGCCGGAACGCCAGCAUCUGCAGAUCAGCAUGUCGCAGCGAAUACGUUCCCGGGUCUUGUACACACCGCCCGUCACAUUCGCGGGAGUGGUUUUACCAGGAAGUGAACAGCUCAACCGUAAGGAGGGCGAUUACCACGGUAGGAUUCAUGACUGGGCGUGUUUUCUGCAAUAAGGUAA
This 1508-nucleotide ribosomal RNA is filed under the name uncultured Bordetella sp. Its description in RNAcentral is "partial 16S-23S ribosomal RNA intergenic spacer". It matches the Rfam family "Bacterial small subunit ribosomal RNA". The record is from RNAcentral. Lineage: Bacteria; Pseudomonadati; Pseudomonadota; Betaproteobacteria; Burkholderiales; Alcaligenaceae.